CUGAAUUGUCAACAAGAGUUGUUGCUGGUCCUCGAAUGGGGGCAUGUGCACGCUCUGUUCACACAUCCACUCACACCCUGUGCACUCUCUGUAGUUCUAUGGCCAGGGGGCCUGCCCUCCUGCUGUGGUUCUGCGUCUUUACACACACACUGUAACAAAGUCUCAUGGAAUGCAUGCUGCGUUUAACGCAAUACAAUA
This 198-nucleotide unclassified non-coding RNA is filed under the name uncultured Tomentella. Its description in RNAcentral is "sequence contains ITS1". Lineage: Eukaryota; Fungi; Basidiomycota; Agaricomycetes; Thelephorales; Thelephoraceae. The record is from RNAcentral.